RNAcentral lists this ribosomal RNA (418 nucleotides) under uncultured bacterium. RNAcentral describes it as "bacterial SSU rRNA". It matches the Rfam family "Bacterial small subunit ribosomal RNA", at positions 29 to 434 of the family's 1533-position model. The record is from RNAcentral.
AACGAACGCUGGCGGCGUGGAUAAGACAUGCAAGUCGAACGAGACUUUCAGCUGUAGCAAUACAGUUGAAAGUUUAGUGGCGAACGGGUGCGUAACACGUGGGCAAUCUGCCGAGAAGUGGGGGAUAGCUCGCCGAAAGGCGAAUUAAUACCGCAUAUGAUCAGGAAAGACAUCUUUCCGACAUCAAAGCCGGGGCAACCUGGCGCUUCUUGAUGGGCCCGCGGCCUAUCAGCUAGUUGGUGAGUAACGGCUCACCAAGGCAUUGACGGGUAGCUGGUCUGAGAGGACGACCAGUCACACUGGAACUGAGACACGGUCCAGACACCUACGGGUGGCAGCAGUCGAGAAUUUUUCNCAAUGGGGAACCCUGAAGGAGCGACGCCGCGUGGAGGAUGAAGGUCUUCGGGUUGUAACUCCU